Molecule: ribosomal RNA, 253 nt
Filed under: uncultured bacterium
Lineage: Bacteria
Description: partial 16S ribosomal RNA
Rfam family: Bacterial small subunit ribosomal RNA
Source: RNAcentral
UACGGGGGGUGCAAGCGUUGUUCGGAAUUAUUGGGCGUAAAGAGCGUGUAGGCGGCGGGAUAAGUCAGAUGUGAAAGCCCUGGGCUCAACUCAGGAAGUGCAUUUGAUACUGUUUCGCUUGAGUACUGGAGAGGGAAGAGGAAUUCCUGGUGUAGAGGUGAAAUUCGUAGAUAUCAGGAGGAACACCGGUGGCGAAGGCGACUUCCUGGCCAGAUACUGACGCUGAGACGCGAGAGCGUGGGGAGCAAACAGG